RNAcentral lists this ribosomal RNA (506 nucleotides) under uncultured bacterium. Its description in RNAcentral is "partial 16S ribosomal RNA". It matches the Rfam family "Bacterial small subunit ribosomal RNA", at positions 29 to 523 of the family's 1533-position model. The record is from RNAcentral.
AUUGAACGCUGGCGGCAGGCCUAACACAUGCAAGUCGGACGGUAGCACAGAGGAGCUUGCUCCUUGGGUGACGAGUGGCGGACGGGUGAGUAAUGUCUGGGGAUCUGCCCGAUAGAGGGGGAUAACCACUGGAAACGGUGGCUAAUACCGCAUAACGUCGCAAGACCAAAGAGGGGGACCUUCGGGCCUCUCACUAUCGGAUGAACCAAGAUGGGAUUAGCUAGUAGGCGGGGUAAUGGCCCACCUAGGCGACGAUCCCUAGCUGGUCUGAGAGGAUGACCAGCCACACUGGAACUGAGACACGGUCCAGACUCCUACGGGAGGCAGCAGUGGGGAAUAUUGCACAAUGGGCGCAAGCCUGAUGCAGCCAUGCCGCGUGUAUGAAGAAGGCCUUCGGGUUGUAAAGUACUUUCAGCGGGGAGGAAGGCGGUGAGGUUAAUAACCUCACCGAUUGACGUUACCCGCAGAAGAAGCACCGGCUAACUCCGUGCCAGCAGCCGCGGUAA